GAGUUUGAUCGUGGCUCAGAUUGAACGCUGGCGGCAUGCCUUACACAUGCAAGUCGAGCGGCAGCGCGGGGGCAACCCUGGCGGCGAGCGGCGAACGGGUGAGUAAUGCAUCGGAACGUGUCCUCUUGUGGGGGGUAACCAGUCGAAAGACUGGCUAAUACCGCAUGAGAUCGAGAGAUGAAAGCAGGGGACCGCAAGGCCUUGCGCGAGAGGAGCGGCCGAUGCCGGAUUAGCUAGUUGGUGGGGUAACGGCCUACCAAGGCGACGAUCCGUAGCUGGUCUGAGAGGACGACCAGCCACGCUGGGACUGAGACACGGCCCAGACUCCUACGGGAGGCAGCAGUGGGGAAUUUUGGACAAUGGGGGCAACCCUGAUCCAGCCAUGCCGCGUGUGUGAAGAAGGCCUUCGGUUG
RNAcentral lists this ribosomal RNA (413 nucleotides) under uncultured beta proteobacterium. RNAcentral describes it as "bacterial SSU rRNA". It matches the Rfam family "Bacterial small subunit ribosomal RNA", at positions 9 to 425 of the family's 1533-position model. Lineage: Bacteria; Pseudomonadati; Pseudomonadota; Betaproteobacteria. The record is from RNAcentral.